CACACGUUGAUGAAAAACUCAUCUGCUCCGAGGUAGACAGCUCUCAACUCCACGCACUGGAAGAUGACAAUUCUACUGAAGCCGUGUGCAACUUCACCAUCACUGAACACGCCUGUGCCCCGACAAGACGACUCUCAGCAGAAAACUUGGCCACGCUCUUGAAGUGCUCUCUGGAAAGCAACCGGAUGUACGUGGUGGAAGUUUGGCAGCUUCUUUUCCAAAAAG
Poeciliopsis prolifica (blackstripe livebearer) is the source of this 225-nucleotide long non-coding RNA. RefSeq lists it as uncharacterized. NCBI's taxonomy places the organism in Eukaryota, Metazoa, Chordata, Actinopteri, Cyprinodontiformes, Poeciliidae. The record is from RefSeq and is a predicted model, not a curated record. The transcript has 4 exons.